This 91-nucleotide transfer RNA is filed under the name Elusimicrobiota bacterium. Its description in RNAcentral is "Elusimicrobia bacterium (aquatic metagenome) tRNA-Ser". It matches the Rfam family "tRNA". Rfam says of the family: Transfer RNA (tRNA) molecules are approximately 80 nucleotides in length. Their secondary structure includes four short double-helical elements and three loops (D, anti-codon, and T loops). Lineage: Bacteria; Pseudomonadati; Elusimicrobiota. The record is from RNAcentral.
GGAGAGGUCGCCUAGAGGCCGAGGGCGUCGGUUUGCUAAACCGAUAUACCGUUGAAAAGCGGUAUCGUGGGUUCGACUCCCACCCUCUCCG